This 447-nucleotide ribosomal RNA is filed under the name uncultured bacterium. RNAcentral's name for it is "bacterial SSU rRNA". It matches the Rfam family "Bacterial small subunit ribosomal RNA", at positions 330 to 793 of the family's 1533-position model. The record is from RNAcentral.
UCCAGACUCCUACGGGAGGCAGCAGUGGGGGAUAUUGCACAAUGGGGGAAACCCUGAUGCAGCGACGCCGCGUGGGUGAAGAAGUAUUUCGGUAUGUAAAGCCCUAUCAGCAGGGAAGAAAGAAGACGGUACCUGACUAAGAAGCCCCGGCUAACUACGUGCCAGCAGCCGCGGUAAUACGUAGGGGGCGAGCGUUAUCCGGAUUCACUGGGUGUAAAGGGAGCGUAGACGGCCGUGCAAGCCAGGAGUGAAAGCCCGGGGCCCAACCCCGGGACUGCUCUUGGAACUGUGCGGCUGGAGUGCGGGAGGGGCAGGCGGAAUUCCUGGUGUAGCGGUGAAAUGCGUAGAUAUCAGGAGGAACACCGGCGGCGAAGGCGGCCUGCUGGACCGCGACUGACGUUGAGGCUCGAAAGCGUGGGGAGCGAACAGGAUUAGAUACCCUAGUAU